GAUGAACGCUGGCGGCGUGCCUAACACAUGCAAGUCGAGCGAACAGACGAGGAGCUUGCUCCUCUGACGUUAGCGGCGGACGGGUGAGUAACACGUGGAUAACCUACCUAUAAGACUGGGAUAACUUCGGGAAACCGGAGCUAAUACCGGAUAAUAUAUUGAACCGCAUGGUUCAAUAGUGAAAGACGGCUUUGCUGUCACUUAUAGAUGGUUCCGCGCCGCAUUAGCUAGUUGGUAAGGUAACGGCCUACCAAGGCAACGAUGCGUAGCCGACCUGAGAGGGUGAUCGGCCACACUGGAACUGAGACACGGUCCAGACUCCUACGGGAGGCAGCAGUAGGGAAUCUUCCGCAAAGGGCGGAAGCCUGACGGAGCAACGCCGCGUGAGUGAUGAAGGUCUUCGGAUCGUAAAGCUCUGUUAUUAGGGAAGAACAGAUGUGUAAGGAACUAUGGACGUCUUGACGGUACCUAAUCAAAAAGCCACGGCUAACUACGUG
Molecule: ribosomal RNA, 497 nt
Filed under: uncultured bacterium
Lineage: Bacteria
Description: partial 16S ribosomal RNA
Rfam family: Bacterial small subunit ribosomal RNA
Source: RNAcentral